UAAAACCUGGCAGUGCCAAGACAAUGAGAAGUGCGAGGAAAGACCCACCGGUCCUGCGUGCGUUAGACUGACCUGCGCCGACAUCCGAUGCGCCGCUGGCGAACUUUGCAACGAACUACCCGACGGGCCGGACUGCGUGCCAGAUGUACCUUCAUGCGAAGGCUUCUUCUGUAAGCGCGGCACCAACUGCUACGUCCGUGACGGCUCUCCCAUCUGUCUGCCCAAUACGUGCG
Long non-coding RNA from Pollicipes pollicipes, 233 nucleotides. RefSeq lists it as uncharacterized. Lineage: Eukaryota; Metazoa; Arthropoda; Thecostraca; Pollicipedomorpha; Pollicipedidae. The record is from RefSeq and is a predicted model, not a curated record. The transcript is spliced from 3 exons.